CAUGGAGCUUCAAACCUUCAGCAACUUUUAACUUACAAAUCCUAAUAUCUUAAAAGCUAUGCCUACCGGUUUUGGGUUGGGGUGACCGCGGAGAAAAAAUUAACCUCCAUGACGAACAGAACUAAAUCUUUAUCUAAGAGCUACUACUCUAAGAAUCAGUAAACUGACGUAAAAUGACCCGAUUAUCGAUCAACGAACCAAGUUACCCUGGGGAUAACAGCGCAAUCCACUUUGAGAGCUCAUAUCGACAAGUGGGUUUACGAC
This 264-nucleotide ribosomal RNA is filed under the name Buergeria japonica (Japanese Buerger's frog). Its description in RNAcentral is "partial 16S ribosomal RNA". It matches the Rfam family "Bacterial large subunit ribosomal RNA", at positions 2092 to 2524 of the family's 2925-position model. Lineage: Eukaryota; Metazoa; Chordata; Amphibia; Anura; Rhacophoridae. The record is from RNAcentral.